GAUGAAGAACGUAGUGAAAUGCGAUAAGUAAUGCGAAUUGCAGAAUUUCCGUGAGUCAUCGAAUCUUUGAACGCACAUUGCGCCCACUGGUAUUCCGGUGGGCAUGCCUGUUCGAGCGUCAUUAUCCUCCCUCAAACCCCGGGUUUGGUGUUGGACCCAAGUUGUGUGAACAACUGGUCUCAAAGACAAUGACGGCGUCCGUGGGACCCUCGGUGCAACGAGCUUUUAGGAGCACGCAUCGAGUUGCAAGGACCUUCCGGGCCGGUCUCCUUUACCAUUUUACAAGGUUGACCUCGGAUCAGGUAGGAAUACCCGCUGAACUUAAGCAUAUCAAUAAGCGGGGA
RNAcentral lists this unclassified non-coding RNA (344 nucleotides) under soil metagenome. RNAcentral's name for it is "partial contains 5.8S ribosomal RNA, internal transcribed spacer 2, and large subunit ribosomal RNA". The stretch from base 1 to 121 matches the Rfam family "5.8S ribosomal RNA", at positions 35 to 154 of the family's 154-position model. The record is from RNAcentral.